GAGGAUAAUUGAUGAUAUUCCUUCCUAGUAGACCAGGGUUUGUAACAGUGAUGGCGACGGCAAGUUUGUUGAUAACACUGGUAUGGCAUCCGGGAUUGCCAAGUAUUAUGAUAAAGCUGCUUGCUUACAAAACAAGUAUUUGACUGGGCCACUUUGGUCUCUUCCCGGGGGGUCUCACCACAAAUGUUCAUUAAUUAAGGAUGGCAAUAAAAUUGAUUUCCCUGCUGCAACAUGGAGAUAUGCUACUGGUUAUGAGUCCCAAAUUAGGUUGGUAUAAUUUAUGGCUGUGGUUCACAGACUCCAGUAGGGAUAUUAAUGAAUACCCAAUGUCUAAAUGUAGAACAGUUUUCUUUCUUAAUGAUUAUUUAAUAUACGUAAUAAUAUUCCCAUUAAUUCUGUUGAAUUUGUUGAUACAAUCAUAGAUUUGUCUCAUGAGCAUGGCAAUUUGUUAUACCUCUUUCAACUUAGGAUACGUGGCCGCGCGAUAGGCCAUUUGAGGAGC
RNAcentral lists this long non-coding RNA (502 nucleotides) under Gossypium barbadense (sea-island cotton). RNAcentral's name for it is "long non-coding RNA (GBAR_LNC013770)". Lineage: Eukaryota; Viridiplantae; Streptophyta; Magnoliopsida; Malvales; Malvaceae. The record is from RNAcentral.